GUGAAACUGGGGGCUCAACCCCCAGCCUGCAGUGGGUACGGGCAGACUAGAGUGCGGUAGGGGAGAUUGGAAUUCCUGGUGUAGCGGUGGAAUGCGCAGAUAUCAGGAGGAACACCGAUGGCGAAGGCAGAUCUCUGGGCCGAACUGACGCUGAGGAGCGAAAGGGUGGGGAGCAAACAGGCUUAGAUACCCUGGUAGUCCACCCCGUAAACGUUGGGAACUAGUUGUGGGGCCGUGACGCAGCUAACGCAUUAAGUUCCCCGCCUGGGGAGUACGGCCGCAAGGCUAAAACUCAAAGGAAUUGACGGGGACCCGCACAAGCGGCGGAGCAUGCGGAUUAAUUCGAUGCAACGCGAAGAACCUUACCAAGGCUUGACAUACAGGUGGUGCAUGGUUGUCGUCAGCUCGUGUCGUGAGAUGUUGGGUUAAGUCCCGCAACGAGCGCAACCCUCGUUCUAUGUUGCAACUCAUGGGAUACUGCCGGGGUCAACUCGGAGGAAGGUGGGGAUGACGUCAAAUCAUCAUGCCCUUAUGUCUUGGGCUUCACGCAUGCUACAAUGGCCGGUACAAAGGGCUGCAAUACCGUAAGGUGGAGCGAAUCCCAAAAAGCCGGUCCCAGUUCGGAUUGAGGUCUGCAACUCGACCUCAUGAAGUCGGAGUCGCUAGUAAUCGCAGAUCAGC
This 681-nucleotide ribosomal RNA is filed under the name uncultured bacterium. RNAcentral describes it as "bacterial SSU rRNA". It matches the Rfam family "Bacterial small subunit ribosomal RNA", at positions 594 to 1353 of the family's 1533-position model. The record is from RNAcentral.